This 200-nucleotide ribosomal RNA is filed under the name Vibrio splendidus. Its description in RNAcentral is "partial 16S ribosomal RNA". It matches the Rfam family "Bacterial small subunit ribosomal RNA", at positions 1 to 184 of the family's 1533-position model. The record is from RNAcentral. RNAcentral also lists the same sequence under 1 other name. Lineage: Bacteria; Pseudomonadati; Pseudomonadota; Gammaproteobacteria; Vibrionales; Vibrionaceae.
AAAUUGAAGAGUUUGAUCAUGGCUCAGAUUGAACGCUGGCGGCAGGCCUAACACAUGCAAGUCGAGCGGAAACGACACUAACAAUCCUUCGGGUGCGUUAAUGGGCGUCGAGCGGCGGACGGGUGAGUAAUGCCUAGGAAAUUGCCUUGAUGUGGGGGAUAACCAUUGGAAACGAUGGCUAAUACCGCAUAAUGCCUACG